GUUGUAUGGUUAAGCGACCAAGCGUAUACGGUGGAUGCCUUGGCAGUCAGAGGCGAUGAAGGACGUAGUAACUUGCGAAAAGCGUUGGUGAGCUAGUAACAAGCAUUUGAGCCAGCGAUGUCCGAAUGGGGAAACCCGGCAGCAUAAGCUGUCAUCAAUACGUGAAUACAUAGCGUAUUGAGGCGAACGAGGGGAACUGAAACAUCUAAGUACCCUUAGGAAAAGAAAUCAACCGAGAUUCCCCAAGUAGCGGCGAGCGAACGGGGAUUAGCCCUUAAGUCUUUGGGGUGUUAGUGGAAUGUGUUGGAAAGCACAGCGGCACAGGGUGAUAGCCCCGUACACGUAAACUAACCAGAGAUGAAAUCGAGUAAGGCGGCACACGUGAUAUGUUGUCUGAAUAUGGGGGGGACCAUCCUCCAAGGCUAAAUACUCCUGACUGACCGAUAGUGAACCAGUACCGUGAGGGAAAGGCGAAAAGAACCCCUGUGAGGGGAGUGAAAUAGAACCUGAAACCGUAUACGUACAAGCAGUGGAAGCGGUACUUGAGACCGUGACUGCGUACCUUUUGUAUAAUGGGUCAGCGACUUACAUUUAGUAGCGAGGUUAAGCGAAUAGCGGAGCCGUAGGGAAACCGAGUGUUAACUGCGCGUAUAGUUGCUAGGUGUAGACCCGAAACCCGGUGAUCUAGCCAUGGGCAGGUUGAAGGUUGAGUAACAUCAACUGGAGGACCGAACCGACUAAUGUUGAAAAAUUAGCGGAUGACUUGUGGCUGGGGGUGAAAGGCCAAUCAAACCGGGAGAUAUCUGGUUCUCCUCGAAAGCUAUUUAGGUAGCGCCUCGGACGAACACCUUUGGGGGUAGAGCACUGUUAAGGCUAGGGGGGUCAUCCCGACUUACCAACCCUUUGCAAACUCCGAAUACCAAAGAGUGCUAUCCGGGAGACAGACGGCGGGUGCUAACGUCCGUCGUCAAAAGGGAAACAACCCAGACCGUCAGCUAAGGUCCCAAAGUAAUUGCUAAGUGGGAAACGAUGUGGGAAGGCUUAGACAGCUAGGAUGUUGGCUUAGAAGCAGCCAUCAUUUAAAGAAAGCGUAAUAGCUCACUAGUCGAGUCGGCCUGCGCGGAAGAUGUAACGGGGCUAAGCAAUUCACCGAAGCUACGGGUACUGAUGCUUGCAUCAGUGCGGUAGAGGAGCGUUCUGUAAGCCGUUGAAGGCGAAGGGGUAACCCACGCUGGAGGUAUCAGAAGUGCGAAUGCUGACAUGAGUAACGAUAAAGGGGGUGAAAAACCCCCUCGCCGAAAGACCAAGGGUUCCUGUCCAACGUUAAUCGGGGCAGGGUGAGUCGACCCCUAAGGCGAGGCUGAAAGGCGUAGUCGAUGGGAAACGGGUUAAUAUUCCCGUACUUCUGCUAACUGCGAUGGAGAGACGGAGAAGGCUAGGCCGGCGCGGCGUUGGUAGUCCGCGUUUAAGGUAGUAGGUGGUGUGCUUAGGCAAAUCCGGGCACACAUACACUGAGAGCUGACGACGAGUCCCUACGGGGAUGAAGUGGUUGAUGCCAUGCUUCCAGGAAAAUCUUCUAAGCUUCAGGUUAGCAGGAAUCGUACCCCAAACCGACACAGGUGGUCGGGUAGAGAAUACCAAGGCGCUUGAGAGAACUCGGCUGAAGGAACUAGGCAAAAUGGUACCGUAACUUCGGGAGAAGGUACGCUCCUGUUGGUGACGAGACUUGCUCUCUGAGCUGACGGGAGUCGCAGAUACCAGGUGGCUGCAACUGUUUAUCAAAAACACAGCACUGUGCAAAAUCGCAAGAUGACGUAUACGGUGUGACGCCUGCCCGGUGCCGGAAGGUUAAUUGAUUGGGUUAUCUUCGGAGAAGCUCAUGAUCGAAGCCCCGGUAAACGGCGGCCGUAACUAUAACGGUCCUAAGGUAGCGAAAUUCCUUGUCGGGUAAGUUCCGACCUGCACGAAUGGCGUAAUGAUGGCCACGCUGUCUCCAGCCGAGACUCAGUGAAGUUGAAAUUGCGGUGAAGAUGCCGUAUACCCGCGGCUAGACGGAAAGACCCCGUGAACCUUUACUAUAGCUUGGCACUGAACAUUGACCCUACAUGUGUAGGAUAGGUGGGAGACUAUGAAGAUGAGACGCCAGUCUUGUUGGAGUCAACCUUGAAAUACCACCCUUGUAGUGUUGAUGUUCUAACCUGGGCCCCUAAUCGGGGUUAGGGACAGUGCCUGGUGGGUAGUUUGACUGGGGCGGUCUCCUCCCAAAGAGUAACGGAGGAGCACGAAGGUUGGCUAAGUACGGUCGGACAUCGUACGGUUAGUGUAAUGGCAUAAGCCAGCUUAACUGCGAGACAGACACGUCGAGCAGGUGCGAAAGCAGGUCAUAGUGAUCCGGUGGUUCUGAAUGGAAGGGCCAUCGCUCAACGGAUAAAAGGUACUCCGGGGAUAACAGGCUGAUACCGCCCAAGAGUUCAUAUCGACGGCGGUGUUUGGCACCUCGAUGUCGGCUCAUCACAUCCUGGGGCUGAAGUCGGUCCCAAGGGUAUGGCUGUUCGCCAUUUAAAGUGGUACGCGAGCUGGGUUCAGAACGUCGUGAGACAGUUCGGUCCCUAUCUGCCGUGGGCGUUGGAUGAUUGAGGGGAGCUGCUCCUAGUACGAGAGGACCGGAGUGGACGAACCGCUGGUGUUCGGGUUGUCAUGCCAAUGGCAUUGCCCGGUAGCUACGUUCGGAAUCGAUAACCGCUGAAAGCAUCUAAGCGGGAAGCGAGCCCCAAGAUGAGUCAUCCCUAGGGCCUAGAGCCCUCUGAAGAGCCGUUCGAGACCAGGACGUUGAUAGGCAGGGUGUGUAAGCGUUGCGAGGCGUUGAGCUAACCUGUACUAAUGACUCGAGAGGCUUAACCAUACAACCCAGAUGGGUUUU
Molecule: ribosomal RNA, 2920 nt
Filed under: Shewanella algae
Lineage: Bacteria; Pseudomonadati; Pseudomonadota; Gammaproteobacteria; Alteromonadales; Shewanellaceae
Description: 23S ribosomal RNA
Rfam family: Bacterial large subunit ribosomal RNA
Source: RNAcentral